Molecule: non-coding RNA, 24 nt
Filed under: Cricetulus griseus (Chinese hamster)
Lineage: Eukaryota; Metazoa; Chordata; Mammalia; Rodentia; Cricetidae
Source: RNAcentral
UUCUAAGAGUUAGGAGGAACGUCA